This 82-nucleotide ribosomal RNA is filed under the name Teratosphaeria maculiformis. Its description in RNAcentral is "partial 18S ribosomal RNA". It matches the Rfam family "Eukaryotic small subunit ribosomal RNA", at positions 1749 to 1830 of the family's 1831-position model. Lineage: Eukaryota; Fungi; Ascomycota; Dothideomycetes; Mycosphaerellales; Teratosphaeriaceae. The record is from RNAcentral.
GGAAAGCUCGUCAAACUUGGUCAUUUAGAGGAAGUAAAAGUCGUAACAAGGUCUCCGUAGGUGAACCUGCGGAGGGAUCAUU